RNAcentral lists this long non-coding RNA (1214 nucleotides) under Lotus japonicus. RNAcentral describes it as "long non-coding RNA (LJAP_LNC000683)". Lineage: Eukaryota; Viridiplantae; Streptophyta; Magnoliopsida; Fabales; Fabaceae. The record is from RNAcentral.
ACGAACUAUAUAGUUGAAGACAACAACUUGGUGAACAACUUCAAGUAUAACAUAGAAACAAAAUUUAAAUGUCACCGGGAACAAUCACAUUUGCAGUAAGGGUGCUAAAAAACCCAUUUACAAGAGGAAAAAGAAGAAACAGUACAGGAUUCAACAAAACAAAAAACAUCUCCCAGCCCAGUUGCAGAACACAACUGCCAUCAGCAGGGUACACUGGAGCCAAACAGAGAACACCAGCAACAUUCAGAUCUUCGAAUCCUAACUUUGUAGUGACCCAAGGUUUGGGUUGGGAAGAAACCCAGAAAUUUUUGGGUUAUGGAGAAACCCAAAAUCAAGACGAGACCGCACCACCAUCACUGCAUCACCAUCGCAGAUCUGAAUGUUGUUGCUCUUCCCUUUCUUCCUCUGAAAUCGAACAAACAACCACACGCGAAGGGUUGGCUCGAUCUACUCUCCAAAGCUUCGAACUUUCGAUAGUUCGAUUUCAUCAGAUCUGGCGUUUGGGAAAAGGGAAUUAAUGGCUAAUUUGGUGGGGGUGAAGACUAUGGUCAUGAGGUUUUUUGCCGAGUAAACAGUCAUUUUGGUCCUUGAUUUUUUUAUUUUUUUUUAAAAAGGAAAUUAAUUAGGGUUUUUGACUUUCUGGUCAAUUCAGCCCUCUUCUUCUCGUCUUCAUCUAUGAAACCUCCACUACCAGCCCUUCUCUGACUUGCAGGAGCUUGAAAUCAUCAGAUUCUAUGUAUAUCCAUAUCCAACUAUGAAGAAAGAAGAAAAUAAUUUAAGCAUUAAGACAACACGGACUAUAUAGUUUGAAGACAGCAACUUAGUGAACAACUUCAAGUAUAACAUAGAAACAAAAUUUAAAUGUCACCGGGAACAAUCACAUUUGCAGUAAGGGUGCUAAAAAACCCAUUUACAAGAGGAAAAAAAAACAGUACAGGAUUCAAAAAAAAAAAAAAAAUCUCCCAGCCCAGUUGCAGAACACAACUACCAUCAGCAGGGUACACUAGAGCCAAACAGAGAACACCAACAACAUUCAGAUCUUCGAAUCCUAACUUUGUAGUGACCCAAGGUUUGGGUUGGGAAGAAACCCAGAAAUUUUUGGGUUAUGGAGAAACCCAAAAUCAAGACGAGACCGCACCACCAUCACUGCAUCACCAUUGCAGAUCUGAAUGUUGUUGCUCUUCCCUUUCUUCCUCUGAAAUCGAACAAACAAC